UACGUAGGGAGCAAGCGUUGUCCGGAUUUAUUGGGCGUAAAGAGCUCGUAGGCGGCUUAGAAAGUCAGGUGUGAAACCUCCAGGCUCAACCUGGAGACGCCACUUGAUACUUCUAUGGCUUGAGUUCGGUAGGGGUAAGCGGAAUUCCUGGUGUAGCGGUGAAAUGCGCAGAUAUCAGGAGGAACACCGGUGGCGAAGGCGGCGUCCUGGACCAACACUGACACUGAUGAGCGAAAGCCAGGGGAGCAAACGGG
RNAcentral lists this ribosomal RNA (254 nucleotides) under uncultured bacterium. RNAcentral's name for it is "partial 16S ribosomal RNA". It matches the Rfam family "Bacterial small subunit ribosomal RNA", at positions 524 to 776 of the family's 1533-position model. The record is from RNAcentral.